Molecule: non-coding RNA, 9053 nt
Organism: Microcebus murinus (gray mouse lemur)
Lineage: Eukaryota; Metazoa; Chordata; Mammalia; Primates; Cheirogaleidae
Source: RefSeq, a predicted model, not a curated record
CUGUAAAUGGAAGGUCAGUUAGGUGCAAAACACACAGUCAGUAUUAUAUUACGUAUUAUGAAAAUAUUGAAAUACAGAGGCAAAGUGAAAACAAGAAGAGUACGAAACCCCUUUGUGUUCAACUGUAAGAGAGCUGGUGACUGCUGCUUUUGGCAGGCGUGAGGGGGCAGCGGACGGGCAGUGUUGGCGGAGGCCAAGCUGAGCACUGGGCACAUAAGGAACACGAGUGUGUCAGGAACGGGGAGAGAGCAGAGCAAGUCCAAGCAGAGGCAGAACAAGGAAUGAGGCCAUGCCAGCUGAGAGCCCGAGAUGCUUAUCUCUAAAGGAUGCUUACAGGCCAUUGUAAAUCUUGUGCGGAUCAAUAGUCCUCUCCAGAGGAUACUCCAUUGGUUGAAAGAAGUACAAUAAAAAGACUUUGGGUGAGAGCUGAAACCUCUAUGGGGCCUCUUCAGUAACAGCAGAUGUCACUAAACUCUUCAGGAAGCAGUUUUUGAAAAAUAUGUUACUAGAGGAUACUCACUGACUUCUGAGGACCUUGGAUGUGUUUGACUUGGCUCUGGGGAAUACCCUCCAUUCUUCCAAAUAGUCCACCUGUUUGCCUUGGCCUUACAUUUCACCAUGAGGGGGUGAAUACAUGGAAGAAUCAGACAUUAAGUGAGAUGCCCACAGUCACUCCACGAGUACAAAAUGGACCCCAGGUAUGAACUCUUCUUUUCUGACUACUGCGUUCUUCUCUGUUCUUUGUACCCCAUCACAUUGCCUCCACAAAAUUAUCCUACCCUGAAAUUGAAAAGUGUUGGGAUUGUAUUCAUUGCACCACAUUUCCUAGGGGCUAACACUCCCUCCUUUGUGAAUAUGGUGUAAACAGUGACUCAGAGUUAGGCUAAUGAUGUGGGACAUACAAGUUUCCUGUUGGCUGACAGUAACUCUGGUGGCCUUCUUUAACUGUUUUCUGGUAACCUAGAAAUAGUACCUCUGCAUUAAAAUCAAGGACAAGGGAAUGCCUGCAACUUGCUGGCACAGGUUUUAGAGGUGAAUCUCCAAGAAGGCUGGUGCCUGAAGGUCCAUUAAGGCAAGGGCAAUACAGCUUUAUAUCCACACCUUUUGUAUGUCAGACAUAUGGAAGGUGAUGGGCUUGUGAAAAGGGGGAAUAAGUUUAAAUCUGCUGGGAAAAAGGAAAUGAAGUAAAGCCACUUUAUGAGAGAUUCCUGAAAAAUAUUUGAUAAAUACUCGAUGAUAACUAAGUGCUAGAACAAUCUAUUUUACAAUUCACACAAUCAUUAUGUAUGAAUUGUUUUGUUUGUUUUAAAUGUAAUUAAUUCUGAACAAAACCUCUGCACUCUAAUGAUACUGUCACAUGGCAGCCCCAGUGGCUGUGCUACAAGUCCUCUCUUAUCAACAUGAGGUUCUCAGUCCUCAAGAAAGACGGAUACAGUCAUUCCAGACAUUCUCAUAUAGACAUUUUUGUCUUUUACAAGGGUUGCAAUUUCGAUGCUAACUCAAAGAAUCUGCUUAUAAGGGAGAAUGCAUCCCAUUAUUCAUGGUGGAAAUUUGCUUCAUUAAGAGCAGUGAUUGAUCUUAACUUGGGGAGGGGAGAAGAAAAUUCUUCUUAAAAUCUCCUGGAUGUGAGUAUGUGCAUUUAUUUGGGGAGUGGGAAGUUUUAAACACUGUAAGCCUUUACCUAUAAGAGAUUCUGAUCACCUCCCUCAGUGGUUUUCAAUACAUCUACCCUAUACCUCAUCCUGUGACUUUUAGGACAAUUUCCUUCAUAACUUUUUUGGACAAUCAUAUCCUAUAGACAAUGGCAAUGCCACCACCUACUUAAGCAAAUGUCUUUAAAAAUCCUAUUUAAACAAAAAACAAAACUAGAAAACUGGGUUAACUGAUAGGCCACAUUAGAAUUUUAGAAAAAAAAUUCUCUUAGGUUUCCUCAAUGUUCAUGAUAGCCUUAUUUUUCAAAAAGUAGCACAGUAUAUUAGUAUACUGAAAAAGCAGUGAUCUAAUUCAGACCAGAAACCUGGGUUCUAGUUGCUUUCUCUGCUGCAAACAGCGUUAUGUGUUUGGGAAGGUGAUGACUCCUUUGGGCUUCAGAUGAAGUAGACAAAAGCCAAGACCUUGUCCAGUUCAAAAAAACAUUAGGCUAUUAAACCUAGAGAAUAAACGAACUACACUGGGACCUUAAAAUAUCAUGCCUUUGAUUGCCCUCCUUUUCUAUUAAUAAUUCACUGGAUCAAGAACAUAAAAUACUAUUUCCUAUCAUCUUGAUACUUCUUCUGUGAUUUAUUAUUCUCUGAAACAUAACUAGUAACCCACGUGGAGUUUCUGUUCUAAAAGGCAAGUUGAACCACAGGAAUGCAUUCCUGAUUGUCCUUGCUGGAUAGCCUGGCAAGAAAACAGGAUUCCCUUGGAAAACCAGUGGUUUUCAUAGUUUAGCAGGAUCACAAUCACACAGAUUGCUGGGCCCCACCCCCAGAGUUGCUGAUCUGGCAGAUCUGGAGUAUAGGGUCUGAGAGUUGGUACUUCUAGCAAGUUCCCUGGAGAUGUUGAUGCUGCUGGUCCUGAGACCACACUUGGAGAACGGCCUUUAACAGAACAUCAUAUGCUCCUCAUGGAGGCAGUGAUCUAUUGAAUCUCUCCAUGUCAACCUUGUCCCAGGUCACAGCAUGUGGUGGCAGUCCUUGAGAUGAUGCCAUGACCUCUUAUUUCUGAUUCCAGAAGAUUCCAUUUUCCAAUAGUGAUCACCACACAGAAGAGGAAGACAUCAACCCAGAAAAUAGAGAAGAGGGCAAACUGUCAUACAGUCACUCAAUUUCCCCACCUUUCCUCUCUUUAUGACUCAAAACUACAGAUUGUCCAGUUUAUAUAAUCAGCCUAAAAUAAUAAAAAGAUUGAUAUAUUUUGGAUGGUGCUUCAUCAGUGUUUAGCAGAAUCCAAUGGAGAAAGAUCACUAAUCAGAGUUCAAAUAUGUAUUAAAGUGUCACCUUUUCUCUUGCGAGUAGGUGAUAUUGAGUAUUUUCUAUUUACCAUAAAAUGUGCUUCUGACUUCACAUGUACUAGUUCGUGUGACCUCUGAUAAAAUCCUAUCAGAUCAGUAUUAUAUUUAUCCCCAUUUUGUAGAUGGGGAAAACAAAACUUAGAGAGGCAAAAUAACUUGCCUGAGGUUGUUUAAAAAAGAAGUGGUGGAACUAGGAGUGGCUACACUGAACUGCCUCCAGCUCUGUGAUCCUGAAAAACACCAAAAACCCUCUUCACUGUUUAUAUUCUGUAAAAUGGCCCUAUCUCCCAGGGAUAAUGUGUGAAUAAGAUAAUAGACUUAUUGAAUGCACAAAGAAAUGAUGUGCUGUGGCUACAAGUACUACUCUGAACUAUUUUAGAUGUUAUUAUCCUUUUUUACAACAAAUCAAAUGCAACAAUCUAUAAAUUGUUAUUAUCUGCUUUACUCUCCUUGCAUUUCUGUUCCUUAAAGAAUUAUUUUUAUGUUCUUGUCCUUGAAAUGGUCAUGCAUUCUUUUCUCCUGCUGACUUUCAAGGAACUACUCAAAAUUAUUUGAAUUUUAACGGGUAACCCUUUAAGUAGAUAUCCUGGUGUCACCAGAGAUUAAUGGAAAGACAGAUACCGUGGGCCUGGAUCUCCAGCUCUAUCUAGCUCUGCUGCUCUCUGUGGUCCAGGUAGUCACUGUUGGCUGCAUUUAUAUCUGAUGGGGUUGGGCUUGAUCAGAGGUGCUCAAAUUUUUCUUCACUACCAUACAGAGUGGAUGAUUUUCACAUUCACAAAACAAGAAUUGGGUGAAACCCAUGAAUAUUUUACAAGGAUGCAAAACAAAAUAUUGUAGACUUUUUUUUUCUCAUUGCAACAGCUAUAAUAAUUAACAGAAUGUUGGUUAUCUUACAGAUUGUGCCAUCCAUAAGACAGACUAAGGGUUCUGAGCAAUCGACAGCAAGCUGGUUCUAACUUUACCUUUUUAUUUCCAGCCAAGAAAGCAAUUCAGAAUGCAAGUGGGUAAGCAUGAUGACAUCGUCAUAGGAAUUACCUGGAGUCUAGUCUCAUUUUUUUUUUAAAAAACAAAUCAUUUCCAAAAGGCAGCACAUUGUUAUUAGUAAUAAAUUAUUGGCGAUAGCACUCAUACUUGAUCACCACUUUGUGGGUGAGAAUCACAGGACUAGAUGAUUUUCACAUCCCUUCCCACACAAACAUCUCAUUUAUGGUCUUGGACUUUUCUCCAACAGACCUUCAUUAUAGUCUUUCUGGAGUUAUGGCUUUGAAGAUGAGUUACACUGUGCAAUUACUUCUAAGUUUUUAUCCAGUUUGCUAAUCCCCCCCAAAAAAAGUGCAGUAAUCAUAUUUUGAUAAAACUUAAAAAUAGCCCUGAGAAGAAGACAAAAUUGCUGGACUCCAUCAUUUCUUCUGCAGAAUCCCAAGGGAGCAUGGGAAAUGCCAGGCUGCAUGGUGCCUGCCGGCUUGUGGAGAUUAUUGUCAUUUGAAGCAAAGAUGGCCUCAGCCCUGGGGUAGAAAAGACAAUAGAGCCCACUGAUUGGUAGAUGCCUGAAUCCUUCAAAUGGGGAAAUCUUUCAGGUUAAAUUGUUUACUUCCAUUUUUGCAUUCAGCAUUUCCUCCUGUUUAUUUCUUUAUUAUUUCCUUUGGGAUUCUUAAAAUCCUGCCUGGGGACUUUUUAGAAAUUAUUUGUAAUCUCCAUAAGGACAAUGCAAUAUUUGUGUUACAAUUUCCUUUUUGGGCAUUUUAAUCAUUUAGGAUUUAUCCUAUUUAUCCUGGCACAAAGGCUUCAAAAACAGGAUAUUCUCCUCAAGUUUUCUUUUAGCCAUAAUAUGGCAAAUCACAAGCUUUUAUAAUUUUUUUAUAUGGAAGUCUUGGAAUUUCCACAGCUUACAUUCUGAGCCAACAAAAAUAUACAGAGACAGAAAGCAGGGAAUUUUUGAAUUCACUUGAUUUACUUCACAGCAUUACUGUUUUUGCAGAUAUAUGUGCUUAACAGGGCAAUUAAUUUUAAGUCUGAUUUGGAAAUAGAAAGUUUGUUUUUGUAAACUCAGAGGGAAAAAAUGGUAAAAAUAGUUUGCAUCUGAUGAUACCGUAUCCCAGGAAAGGGUGAUGACUAAGUUAACUACAAGACUUUCCUGGACAACCAUUGGUACAGGAAGACCCAAAAAGGUCUGGGGUUGAGCUGAAUGGAGACUAUUUUGAAAGAAGGCAGUGUGCUACAGCGGAAAGAACACACAACGUAGAACCAGGAAACUUAAUUUCUACUCCUAGUUUUCCUAUUACCUGUGUACCUUUGAGCAGGUCAAUUAACCUCUCUGACCCUCAAUUUCCUCCUCUUUCUAAUGGAGAUUUUUAAAAAACCCUGCCCUACCUACUUCCUAGGAUUGUUAGGAGGCUUACAUAAAAUAAAAUAUCUUAAAGAAUUUUUAAAAUUAUAAAGUACAUUACUUAUGUGAGAUAUCUUUAUAACAUCUUUCUGUAAUUCCAUUAGUCCUUGAAUACCUAAUGUUUAAAUCACAUAGGAUGGCAAGAUUAAUUGGGAUAUUUUUCCUUGUUAGGGCAGGCCAUAGUGUUUAUAUUAGUAGUAUUUGUUUAAACCUUAAUAAGUUUAUCUAACUAUCUCUUUGGAGCAGGUUCAGGAAAUAUGAAUGAAUCUGCUAUAAUAUAUACGAGGAGCCUACUGAAUUCCUAUUAUUCCUGUUAAGACCACCCUCCUCAGUUCUGCUGUUGUUCCAAAGCUCAACGAGCUCCUGAAAAGACCACCCCUCCACUGCCCAUCUUACUGCUGUGAAUUGACUAUGAAGCUAGACCCAGAAGACGGUGAUUGUUAGGUCCGCUCCCAGACCUUCCUCUAACAGACCAUCAGGAAUAACUCCAUCUUUCCUUACGUCCCUCUUGACAAGUCCAAGCUUCUGGACUCAUUAUUAAUAUGUCUCUGUACAUUUCAUACUCUGAGCCAAUUCUGGGUUUCCCGUGAAUUUCACUGUGUCCUAUGGAAUUUAAUAUUAGUCAUUUGCAAAAUGAUAUUGUCCCUGAUGUCAUCUACCUUCAGAAAGCCUUUCUUUCAUUUUUCACUCUAAUGGAAGCCUGGCUUGGCUCGAUAAGACUUCACUGGAGCCUUAUCAGAUGGUGAUCCCAUAGGCCACAGAGGCUGGAGAUUGGAUUAAAGACCCUCCUUCUUCUUGUUGCCAUUUCCAAAACAUUUCUCCUUUGCACUACUGCUCAAAGACUGUCCCCUUUAACCUCAAUGCCUUCUAGUGACUCUACUUCAUUCUUUGAUGAUUUUGGCACCUGGUUCAUUCUCUUCCUCUCCACCAUGCUAAUUUUUAUUCUUAGUAGCUUGAAUACUCACAUGGACCUGACCUCUGGGUUCCUUGAAUUCUUCAUUUGUAAUAGUUGUUGCCUCAACCCAAUGUUAGUCAUUCCCUCCCACGGCCAUUCUCAAAAACUUGACGUCACCCAUAAUAUCCUUAACUCUGAAAUCAUGAUAUCAAGAUUCCAUUUUCUGACCACCAUCUCCUCAUUUUUUCCAAUGUAUUUACUAUACUAUGAUCCCAAUUUAGCAGACUCUGUCUUAUUUUCCCUAUACACCAGGUUUUAGACUCACAUGCAACUCCUGUGGCCUCUUUUCCUCACCUGGCAAACUCCCAACUUUGCUUAAUCCAAAAUUACAUUGCACUGAACAUGCACACCUGUAACUAAACCUGACUAGGGCAAAACCAGUGAGUCUUUCAGGUGUGUGACUUCUUAAGAUAUUUAUUUCAAAUGAGCUAUAUUCUAUCUUUCAGGCACUAACAAUGCCCCCAACCCCUUUCUAUUAAUAGGCUGGGGAGAAGAAUGUUCUGAAAGAAACUCACCAUCUUCUUGUUCAAAUGUUUUGUUCUUCCACCUGGUAUUUGCCUUGCUUUCCUCUCCUUUCUAACUUACUUUCGCUCAGAUAGUUCAUUUGUUCUUUGCAUUUCUUUGUUCAGUUCCAGUAGAAUGUAAACUCCAUGAAAACAGAGAUGUUGUUUGCUUUGUCACCACUGUAUUCCUUAGCACCUAGCUCAGUGGUUGGCACAUAGGAGGUACUCAAUAAAUAUUCAUUUUUGUCACCAAUCUUAGAGAAUAAAUAGACAUGUCAAAGUCCAGUGGCUCAGAUAGAAACACUGGAGUAUACAAAGAACCUAGAGGCUGCAGCCAACAGCGGAAAGCAGUGACCUAAAGAUAUGAGGUAAGAUUUCCAUGAAGUUCAUACAAAGAAUAUGUGCAUUACAAGAGGACCUGUGUUAGUUGGCUUGGAGUGAUAAUACCUGGCCUCAUGGAUAUUUGUCCAUGGUUCUUCAGCUACUCGUUAAUAACUAAUAAAUCAUACUGAUGAGGAGAAAUGACUUUAGAGACCAUCUAAUGUGCAGCCUUCUGCUUUGCAGGUAAGGAAAUUUGAAUCCUAGAAGUGAAGAGUCUUGUGUCAGAUUAUCCUUUUAUUUACAGAAUAGAGAUAAGAACGCAGGUUUCUUUACUUCUUUGUCUUUUUUCUUAAUGAUAUCCUGAAAAUGUCAAAAUGUCUUAAGCAGUUUAACAGUACAAUGCUGAGUUGCAGUUCUUGAAAGGCCUCUGGCUUCCCAAAGGAAAUCUUAUGUGUUGCCUAUGAAAAUUGGAACUUUAAUUUAGCAUGUAAAUAAAAAGUCCCCACAUUUUCAAGGGAUAUUUCCAAAGAUCUUAUGCCUUGGGGAAAAAAUGUCUAUGCUAGAGUCCAAUGGCAGAAAUUUUAUUUUUAACUUGUUUUAGAUACCAAACUCUGAUCAUUGUGCAUUAUGAGAUCAGUCCCAAAUUACAUGAGCCAUUUAUAAAUAAAUAUAAUACAUUCGUCUAGAGUAAUUUUCUCUCAUGGUAUUUGUUCCCCCCUUUUUUUCCCUCAUGUAUUUACUUGUCCCUAUCUAAAAGCUCAUAAAAUGUCCUCUCCAAGUCUCCUCUCAAUAAUGUAAACAGAUGUUUUGCAAUCAUUUUAGAAUGGGAGAGGACCUGAAUAUUUGCAUCUCCUCAUUUCCUGGUGUUGCUUGUGUUGCACAUGAAUAAUGGAGUUAGACUCAUACGGGGCCAGGAGGUGUGGUGGGAUGGGGCUCAUGGGGCUGUCUUCCAAGGAAAUCCCACUUUGGCUGACCUGAGACAGUUACAAGAACAAGGACAGGAGGUAUGUUUUGGUGUUCAGAGGCUUCAUUAGUUUGCCUUCUAAGCUCCACCAGCUCCAACAAGGGGUAAAGGGAAUUCCUCUUUUGGAGUUACAGUCUGAGGCCUCUAGAGUGAAUCUGGACAAGGCAUUUCCAUACUGUCUGCUCAUUUCUUUUCUUCUUGGACACCUGCAGCAGAUUCUAAAUGCUCAGCAUAAGUUGUCCCACUAUUUAAAACUCAAACAUGGCCCUGAAGGUGGUGGUAAGAAGCUUAUAGUCAUCAAGUUGAGGUGAAGUGGGUGCAGCCUCCUGGGUCACUUGUAAUAUGCACAGUAUCAGAUUUGAGUUAGGUCUCAUGGGCUUCUGGGUCCUCUACAUCUGUGGUUCCCAAGCCCCAGGCCAUGGACCGGUACCAGUCGAUGGCCUUUUAGGAACUAGCCUGCACAGCAGGAGGUGAGCAGCAUUUAAGUAAGCAAAGCUUCAUCUGUAUUUAUAGCCACUCCCUGUCGCUCACAAACCACCUGAGUUCCGCCUCCUGUCAAAUUCUGCACUAUGGUACUUGGGGCAGACAGAGCAUCAGAUCAGGUAAUACGUAAAAAGAAGCAAGACUUCUAUACCCAAAGAGGUGAACUAUGUUGAGAAAGUAAAGCUGAUGCUGUAAAUAGUAAGUAGUAAACAAUUUCAAGGCAAGUUGCUUUUUAAGAAGGCCAGAAAUGGGGAUUAGCAAAGAGCAUGGAAGGUCAUGCUCCAAACAGGAGACCUGGAAUACAUAAAGGCACCUUCCUACACCUGAAAUGCUAAACUUAAAUACAGGGCACAGUCACAGCAUAAAUGAUUAAAUUCUGAAUUCUGUUAAAUAAAUUUACAAAAGAGAAAGGAGAAAUGAUUUUUAUAUUGGCAGUCUUAUUAUUA